This 85-nucleotide transfer RNA is filed under the name Nonlabens xylanidelens. Its description in RNAcentral is "tRNA-Leu". It matches the Rfam family "tRNA". From Rfam's summary of the family: Transfer RNA (tRNA) molecules are approximately 80 nucleotides in length. Their secondary structure includes four short double-helical elements and three loops (D, anti-codon, and T loops). Further hydrogen bonds mediate the characteristic L-shaped molecular structure. tRNAs have two regions of fundamental functional importance: the anti-codon, which is responsible for specific mRNA codon recognition, and the 3' end, to which the tRNAs corresponding amino acid is attached (by aminoacyl-tRNA synthetases). tRNAs cope with the degeneracy of the genetic code in two manners: having more than one tRNA (with a specific anti-codon) for a particular amino acid; and 'wobble' base-pairing, i.e. permitting non-standard base-pairing at the 3rd anti-codon position. The record is from RNAcentral. RNAcentral also lists the same sequence under 4 other names. Lineage: Bacteria; Pseudomonadati; Bacteroidota; Flavobacteriia; Flavobacteriales; Flavobacteriaceae.
GCCUCAGUGGUGGAAUUGGUAGACACGUUGGAUUCAAAAUCCAAUGCUUCACGGCGUGCCGGUUCGAUUCCGGCCUGAGGUACAA